This 468-nucleotide ribosomal RNA is filed under the name uncultured bacterium. RNAcentral's name for it is "partial 16S ribosomal RNA". It matches the Rfam family "Bacterial small subunit ribosomal RNA", at positions 28 to 507 of the family's 1533-position model. The record is from RNAcentral.
GACGAACGCUGGCGGCGUGCUUAACACAUGCAAGUCGAACGGAAAGGCCCUGCUUUUGUGGGGUGCUCGAGUGGCGAACGGGUGAGUAACACGUGAGUAACCUGCCCUUUACUUUGGGAUAACUUCAGGAAACUGGGGCUAAUACCGGAUAGGAGCUCCUGCUGCAUGGUGGGGGUUGGAAAGGUUCGGCGGUUGGGGAUGGACUCGGGGCUUAUCAGCUUGUUGGUGGGGUAGUGGCUUACCAAGGCUUUGACGGGUAGCCGGCCUGGGAGGGUGACCGGCCAAAUGGGGACUGAGAUAGGGCCCAGCCUCCUACGGGAGGAAGCGGGGGGGAAUAUGGAACAAGGGGCGGAAGCCUGAUGCAGCAACGCCGCGGGCGGGAUGACGGCCUUCGGGUUGUAAACCGCUUUAGCAUGUGACGAAGCGUGAGUGACGGUAAUGGGUAAAGAAGCACCGGCUAACUACGUG